AAAACCUUCGGGCACCAUAAGCGACGGUGAGUAGAGAAAACAAAAAUGAGGGAGUCUGCUUGGUGAAAACUCGCAAAGAGCACUAUCAGGCGACAGUGAGAAGAGAAAUGAGAGAGGUCGGAUGGGCGAAAACACACAAAGGGUGUUGUCAGCCGAAAAGAGGAUACUUCAUCACUAAAAGUCCUGGCAAGGUUCCCAAGUUUGGAAAUAUG
RNAcentral lists this long non-coding RNA (212 nucleotides) under Nicotiana benthamiana. Its description in RNAcentral is "long non-coding RNA (NBEN_LNC040911)". The record is from RNAcentral. Lineage: Eukaryota; Viridiplantae; Streptophyta; Magnoliopsida; Solanales; Solanaceae.